RNAcentral lists this microRNA (22 nucleotides) under Macaca mulatta (Rhesus monkey). RNAcentral's name for it is "mml-miR-548a". Its record names the gene mml-miR-548a. The record is from miRBase by way of RNAcentral. Lineage: Eukaryota; Metazoa; Chordata; Mammalia; Primates; Cercopithecidae.
CAAUACUGGCAAUUACUUUUCC